GUCUAGAUAGCUCAGUUGGUAGAGCAUAGGAUUGAAGAUUCUUGUGUCAUGGGUUCGAAUCCCAUUCUAGACA
RNAcentral lists this transfer RNA (73 nucleotides) under Gelidiella fanii. Its description in RNAcentral is "tRNA-Phe". It matches the Rfam family "tRNA". From Rfam's summary of the family: Transfer RNA (tRNA) molecules are approximately 80 nucleotides in length. Their secondary structure includes four short double-helical elements and three loops (D, anti-codon, and T loops). Further hydrogen bonds mediate the characteristic L-shaped molecular structure. tRNAs have two regions of fundamental functional importance: the anti-codon, which is responsible for specific mRNA codon recognition, and the 3' end, to which the tRNAs corresponding amino acid is attached (by aminoacyl-tRNA synthetases). tRNAs cope with the degeneracy of the genetic code in two manners: having more than one tRNA (with a specific anti-codon) for a particular amino acid; and 'wobble' base-pairing, i.e. permitting non-standard base-pairing at the 3rd anti-codon position. The record is from RNAcentral. Lineage: Eukaryota; Rhodophyta; Florideophyceae; Gelidiales; Gelidiellaceae.